This 29-nucleotide non-coding RNA is filed under the name Mus musculus (house mouse). Lineage: Eukaryota; Metazoa; Chordata; Mammalia; Rodentia; Muridae. The record is from RNAcentral.
UGUUAAUCUUCAGUUAAAGCCUCUUCAUC